GAUCAUCUAUGAAUAACUCAUUUACACUGUAAUCACAAAGCUGCAGUAGAUUGCAACUCAUGAUUCAAAAAUCAAAAGGUACCCAUAGGUCUCAGCAAAUUGGAUGGUCCAAAUCUUGCCCAUAAAUUCAAGCCAGAAUGAACCAAAGAGCAACACAGCAAUCUGUGUAGGAUAAAUAAAACUUGGCUGGGUAUUCAAUACUGGGUUUCUUCCUGAUCUUUACCCAUGUACCAUGGCUUGGACAGUCCAGAAUGAAAAGCAAGAUGAAUUUUCUUCUGUUUACUUGGGUCACAGACUGCAAAUAAGAACCAUCAUCUUUUCUUUUAUUUGCU
Molecule: non-coding RNA, 332 nt
Organism: Lonchura striata (white-rumped munia)
Lineage: Eukaryota; Metazoa; Chordata; Aves; Passeriformes; Estrildidae
Source: RefSeq, a predicted model, not a curated record